AGAAAGGUAAGUUAUUAAAAACAAAUUUUGUCAAUAAGUUAUUUGCAUAUUUAAUGAUUUCAACUUGCGCAAGUAAUCCAUAUUAGAAAGGUAAGUUAUUAAAAACAAACAACCUAAUUAGUAGGGGUGGACACUUUACCCGAUAUCCAAAGUGGCACCCGAACCCGAUCCGAAAAACCCGAACUGAAAUCCGAACCGAAUUAGAAAAAUACCCGAACGGGUAUUGAAUAAGGAGAGAUUGGAUACCCGAACCCGAACGGAUAAUACCCGAACCCGAAUGGAUAUCCGAAGAUAACCG
RNAcentral lists this long non-coding RNA (298 nucleotides) under Brassica rapa (field mustard). RNAcentral describes it as "long non-coding RNA (BRAP_LNC007070)". The record is from RNAcentral. Lineage: Eukaryota; Viridiplantae; Streptophyta; Magnoliopsida; Brassicales; Brassicaceae.